RNAcentral lists this ribosomal RNA (1101 nucleotides) under Triticum aestivum (bread wheat). RNAcentral describes it as "partial small subunit ribosomal RNA". The record is from RNAcentral. Lineage: Eukaryota; Viridiplantae; Streptophyta; Magnoliopsida; Poales; Poaceae.
AUGGGCGCGGCGAGCUCGAGGCUGGAGAAGGCGCUGGGCGAGCAGUUCCCCGAGGGCGAGCGAUACUUCGGCCUCGAGAACUUCGGCAACACCUGCUACUGCAACAGCGUCCUCCAGGCACUUUACUUCUGUGUUCCUUUCCGCGAGCAAUUACUGGAGUACUAUGCAAACAAUAAAAGCGCCAGUGAUGGCGAAGAGAACAUGUUAACCUGCUUAGCUGACCUUUUCUCUCAGAUCAGCAAUCAGAAGAAGAAAACAGGCGUUAUCGCUCCUAAGCGUUUUAUUCAACGACUGAAGAAACAGAAUGAGCUUUUCCGCAGCUAUAUGCAUCAGGAUGCUCAUGAAUUUCUGAAUUUUUUGUUGAAUGAGCUAGCUGACAUUCUCGAGAAAGAAUGUAAAGCCAAUAAAGAAACUCCUCAAAAUUCAUCUUCAAAUAAGAGUUCUAAUGGCCCUAUUAAUGGUCAGCCCAAUGGUAGUCAUAAAGAACCAGAGACUACAUGGGUCCACAAAUGCUUCCAGGGAAUAUUGACUAAUCAAACAAAAUGUCUGAGAUGUGAAACCGUCACUGAUAGAGAUGAAACAUUUCUUGACUUGAGCCUGGAUAUAGAACAAAAUAGUUCAAUCACCAGCUGUCUUAAAAACUUCAGCUCAACAGAAACUUUGAACGCCGAGGAUAAGUUCUUCUGUGACAAAUGCUGCAGUUUACAAGAAGCACAGAAAAGAAUGAAGAUAAAGAAACAGCCAAACAUCCUGGUAAUCCAUCUCAAGCGCUUCAAGUACAUCGAGCAGCUUGGCCGCUACAAAAAGCUGACAUACCGAGUCGUUUUCCCACUGGAGCUUAAACUCAUGAACACAGUCGACAACUCAGACUUGGAAUAUUCCCUCUUUGCUGUGCUAGUCCACGUCGGAAGUGGGCCAAAUCAUGGCCACUACAUCAGCGUGGUAAAGAGCCACAACCACUGGUUGUUCUUCGACGAUGAGACUGUUGAGAUGACCGAUGAGUCCAUGGUACAGACAUUCUUCGGCUCAGCACAGGAGUUCAGUGGUAACACCGACAAUGGCUACAUACUCUUCUACGAAAGCGUCGCUAAAACAAGCUGA